RNAcentral lists this transfer RNA (72 nucleotides) under Camelus bactrianus (Bactrian camel). It matches the Rfam family "tRNA". Rfam says of the family: Transfer RNA (tRNA) molecules are approximately 80 nucleotides in length. RNAcentral also lists the same sequence under 1 other name. The record is from Rfam by way of RNAcentral. Lineage: Eukaryota; Metazoa; Chordata; Mammalia; Artiodactyla; Camelidae.
GUGGGUAUAGCUCACGUGGCAGAGUGCAUGCUUGCAUGCAAGAGGUCCUGGGUUCAAACCCCAGUACCGCCA